RNAcentral lists this ribosomal RNA (460 nucleotides) under uncultured bacterium. Its description in RNAcentral is "partial 16S ribosomal RNA". It matches the Rfam family "Bacterial small subunit ribosomal RNA", at positions 338 to 795 of the family's 1533-position model. The record is from RNAcentral.
CCUACGGGAGGCUGCAGUGAGGAAUAUUGGUCAAUGGGCUUACGCCUGAACCAGCCAAGUCGCGUGAGGGAAGACUGCCCUAUGGGUUGUAAACCUCUUUUGUAAGGGCGCAAAACCGGCUACGUGUAGCCGUCCUGAGAGUACCUUAUGAAAAAGCAUCGGCUAACUCCGUUCCAGAAGCCGCGGUACUACGGAGGGUGCGAGCGUUGUCCGGAUUUGUUGGGUUUAAAGGGUGCGUAGGCGGAAUGCCAAGUCAGCGGUAAAAUCGCGGGGCUCAACCUCGCUACGCUGUUGAAACUGGCGUUCUUGAGUGGGCGAGAGGUAGGCGGAAGGCGUGGGGUAGCGGUGAAAUGCAUAGAUAUCACGAAGAACUCCGGUUGCGAAGGCAGCAUACCGGCGCCCAACUGACGCUGAAGCACGAAAGCGUGGGUAUCGAACAGGAUUAGAUACCCCAGUAGUC